CCUACGGGGGGCAGCAGUGAGGAAUAUUGGUCAAUGGACGAGAGUCUGAACCAGCCAAGUAGCGUGAAGGAUGACUGCCCUAUGGGUUGUAAACUUCUUUUAUAUGGGAAUAAAAUGUUCCACGUGUGGGAUUUUGUAUGUACCAUAUGAAUAAGGAUCGGCUAACUCCGUGCCAGCAGCCGCGGUAAUACGGAGGAUCCGAGCGUUAUCCGGAUUUAUUGGGUUUAAAGGGAGCGUAGGUGGAUUGUUAAGUCAGUUGUGAAAGUUUGCGGCUCAACCGUAAAAUUGCAGUUGAAACUGGCAGUCUUGAGUACAGUAGAGGUGGGCGGAAUUCGUGGUGUAGCGGUGAAAUGCUUAGAUAUCAUGAAGAACUCCGAUUGCGAAGGCAGUUCACUGGACUGCAACUGACACUGAGGCUCGAAAGUGUGGGUAUCAAACAGGAUUAGAUACCCUAGUAGUC
This 460-nucleotide ribosomal RNA is filed under the name uncultured bacterium. RNAcentral's name for it is "partial 16S ribosomal RNA". It matches the Rfam family "Bacterial small subunit ribosomal RNA", at positions 338 to 795 of the family's 1533-position model. The record is from RNAcentral.